CAAUAGCGUAUAUUAAAGUUGUUGCAGUUAAAAAGCUCGUAGUUGGAUUUCUGGUACAACGCGCCUGGCCCGCUUUUGUGAGUGCCGGUGCGCGUUUGCCAUCCUUCUAGAAAACGUUUCUACCCGGGUAACUGGGCUGGACUCGCGAUCUAGAUCUUUUUACUUUGAAAAAUUAGAGUGUUUUAAAGCAGGCUUUUGCUGUGAAUACAUUAGCAUGGAAUAAUAAUCUAGGACUUUGGUUCUAUUUUGUUGGUUCUAGGACUAAAGUAAUGAUUGAUAGGGAUAGUUGGGGGUGCUAGUAUUCAGCGGCCAGAGGUGAAUUCUUGGAUUCGCUGAGACUAACUUAUGCGAAAGCUUCACCAAGGAUGUCUUCUUUUAAUCAAGAACGAAAGUUGGGGGAUCGAAGAUGAUCAGAUAC
This 418-nucleotide ribosomal RNA is filed under the name uncultured eukaryote. Its description in RNAcentral is "SSU rRNA". It matches the Rfam family "Eukaryotic small subunit ribosomal RNA", at positions 592 to 1015 of the family's 1831-position model. The record is from RNAcentral.